RNAcentral lists this ribosomal RNA (253 nucleotides) under uncultured bacterium. RNAcentral's name for it is "partial 16S ribosomal RNA". It matches the Rfam family "Bacterial small subunit ribosomal RNA", at positions 524 to 776 of the family's 1533-position model. The record is from RNAcentral.
UACGAAGGGGGCUAGCGUUGCUCGGAAUUACUGGGCGUAAAGCGCACGUAGGCGGCUCUUUAAGUCGGAGGUGAAAUCCUGGAGCUCAACUCCAGAACUGCCUUCGAUACUGUAGAGCUUGAGUUCGGGAGAGGUGAGUGGAACUGCGAGUGUAGAGGUGAAAUGCGCAGAUAUCAGGAGGAACACCUAUUGCGAAGGCAGCUCGCUGGGACGUAACUGACGCUGAGACGCGAAAGCGUGGGGAGCAAACAGG